AGGGGUUCCCUCCUGGUCUCCCCUCUUCUAGUAUCCGAGCUCAGCAGAGAGACAUGCUUGUGCUUGGGACAUCUACGGCAUGCAUGCGCUGGUUACGGCUUGUCGGCCGGCCGGGGUAGAUCUUAUCUAUCAGUCGCCGGCCAAUGACAGAAAGCUAAGCCUGUGGAUAGAGCAGAAGCGGCGGAUCUCCGUCACGGCAUCACUUGCGGCUCCGCAUUGGAACCGGCGGGGAGAGACCGGCUGUCGACCGCCGAGCAAGGAUAGAACAAGAAGAAGAAGAAGAAGAAGAAGAAAUGGGUCAUGUCGCUAGCAGCUUCUAUUUGUUUUACUUCUGUUUUUCUCUCUUGCCGCUCAUUAAUUGGUGUACUUCUAUUCUACCAUUGCUUUGAUGUUCUUUGUUGCUCUGCUGUUGUUCCGGAAAUCACUUUGUUGUACUCUUCGGUGGUGUUGAGAUUGAUCGGUUCUGAAAGUUGGCCUGGCCUUUCUGGGCCGUUGACAGGGUUGUCUUGUUUAUACCCUUUCGUGUAUCUUGUUUAGAUCCGCGCUUCAGUAGAGUGGUCCUCGAUGUUA
This is a long non-coding RNA of Brachypodium distachyon (stiff brome), 570 nucleotides long. RefSeq lists it as uncharacterized. The record is from RefSeq and is a predicted model, not a curated record. Lineage: Eukaryota; Viridiplantae; Streptophyta; Magnoliopsida; Poales; Poaceae. The transcript is spliced from 2 exons.